RNAcentral lists this ribosomal RNA (465 nucleotides) under uncultured bacterium. Its description in RNAcentral is "partial 16S ribosomal RNA". It matches the Rfam family "Bacterial small subunit ribosomal RNA", at positions 28 to 506 of the family's 1533-position model. The record is from RNAcentral.
GACGAACGCUGGCGGCGUGCUUAACACAUGCAAGUCGAACGGAAAGGCCCUGCUUGCAGGGUACUCGAGUGGCGAACGGGUGAGUAACACGUGGGUGAUCUGCCCUGCACUUCGGGAUAAGCUUGGGAAACUGGGUCUAAUACCGGAUAGGAGCCAUCUUUAGUGUGGUGGUUGGAAAGUUUUUUCGGUGUAGGAUGAGCUCGCGGCCUAUCAGCUUGUUGGUGGGGUAAUGGCCUACCAAGGCGGCGACGGGUAGCCGGCCUGAGAGGGUGUACGGCCACAUUGGGAUUGAGAUACGGCCCAACCCCCCAGGGGGGGCAGCAGUGGGGAAAAUUGAAAAAUGGGGGAAAGCCUGAUGCAGCGACGCCGGGUGGGGGGUGAAGGCCUUCGGGUUGUAAACGCCUUUCGCUAGGGACGAAGCUUUGUUGGGACGGGACCAAGAUAAGAAGCACCGGCAAACUACGU